GUGAACGCUGGCGGUAGGCCUAACACAUGCAAGUCGAACGGCAGCACAGUAAGCGCUUGCUCUUACGGGUGGCGAGUGGCGGACGGGUGAGGAAUACAUCGGAAUCUACUUUUUCGUGGGGGAUAACGUAGGGAAACUUGCGCUAAUACCGCAUACGACCUACGGGUGAAAGCCGGGGAUCUUCGGACCUUGCGCGAUUGAAUGAGCCGAUGUCGGAUUAGCUAGUUGGCGGGGUAAAGGCCCACCAAGGCGACGAUCCGUAGCUGGUCUGAGAGGAUGAUCAGCCACACUGGAACUGAGACACGGUCCAGACUCCUACGGGAGGCAGCAGUGGGGAAUAUUGGACAAUGGGCGCAAGCCUGAUCCAGCCAUACCGCGUGGGUGAAGAAGGCCUUCGGGUUGUAAAGCCCUUUUGUUGGGAAAGAAAAGCAGCAGGUUAAUACCCCGCUGUUCUGACGGUACCCAAAGAAUAAGCACCGGCUAACUUCGUG
Molecule: ribosomal RNA, 491 nt
Filed under: uncultured bacterium
Lineage: Bacteria
Description: partial 16S ribosomal RNA
Rfam family: Bacterial small subunit ribosomal RNA
Source: RNAcentral